GUGAACGCUGGCGGUAGGCCUAACACCUGCAAGUCGAACGGUAGCACAGUAAGAGCUCGCUCUUACGGGUGGCGAGUGGCGGACGGGUGAGGAAUACAUCGGAAUCUACUUUUUCGUGGGGGAUAACGUAGGGAAACUUACGCUAAUACCGCAUACGACCUACGGGUGAAAGCAGGGGAUCUUCGGACCUUGCGCGAUUGAAUGGGCCGAUGUCGGAUUAGCUAGUUGGCGGGGUAAAGGCCCACCAAGGCGACGAUCCGUAGCUGGUCUGAGAGGAUGAUCAGCCACACUGGAACUGAGACACGGUCCAGACUCCUACGGGAGGCAGCAGUGGGGAAUAUUGGACAAUGGGCGCAAGCCUGAUCCAGCCAUACCGCGUGGGUGAAGAAGGCCUUCGGGUUGUAAAGCCCUUUUGUUGGGAAAGAAAAGCAGCAGGUUAAUACCCCGCUGUUCUGACGGUACCCAAAGAAUAAGCACCGGCUAACUUCGUG
This 491-nucleotide ribosomal RNA is filed under the name uncultured bacterium. RNAcentral's name for it is "partial 16S ribosomal RNA". It matches the Rfam family "Bacterial small subunit ribosomal RNA", at positions 29 to 507 of the family's 1533-position model. The record is from RNAcentral.